RNAcentral lists this unclassified non-coding RNA (270 nucleotides) under Hevea brasiliensis (rubber tree). The record is from RNAcentral. Lineage: Eukaryota; Viridiplantae; Streptophyta; Magnoliopsida; Malpighiales; Euphorbiaceae.
AGGGAUCUUACCAUUCACAGUCACAAUACUCUUUGUUUGACACAAUCUUGUCACAUUUUGCAUGACGAUAUUGAACUUGUAGUGUCUAGUAAUGCCUGUAUGCUUUGAAACCAUCAGCUGAGGGAAAAUACAAAAAAUACACAAUGCAAGCAAUAAAGCCCUUAAAGUAGAAGUUGCCAGAAGAUUGAUCGAACCCAUCUCAAAAUGUUUGCUUGGAGGAUAUUUUCGCUGAAGAGAAAUGAUAACAAGAGAUGAAAGCUUGUAACUGUG